CAGUUAAAUUUAAAUUCAUAACAACAUUUGACUUGGAUUGGAGGUGGAGUAGAUAUCAGAAAAUCACCAAAUUGAUUGGUCUAAACUGCAAAAGGGUCCCCCAAACGUUAACUUGGAGAAAGACAGCAGCAUGUGAAGUGGAUAAAAUGAUAAUGUCCAAACGUGUCCUUUUUCUCAACCAAAUACUAAAUUAAUAAGUAUUGCUUCUUUAUUGUUGUGUUGCAGAUUCGCGCCAUUGCUGCUAAACUGCAGCCUCUACAGUGUAAACGACAAGCAACUGUCGCUUUUAUAAUGCGUGGAUGUUAGACUUUGCUUGUCAAGAAUCUCAAAGAGCGGAGGAAAUACAGGUUUCAGUCGGUCAGUUCUUAAUACAGACUCAUGCAAAGACUAGGCGUUCUUGAUUGGCGCUGUAACUUGAGUUUCCAAAGCAUAAAUCUACUAGAUGGUGAAUCAUCCCAUACAUUGCUUAAUUCAUUUUCCUGUAGAAGAAGCAGUGAAGCAUCUCAUCCGAAGACAAGACUUUGUUCAAAACUUAGACAUGCAGAUUCAAAUGUCACGCUUCAAAGUCUAAUGCGUCAAUGCUCAGAAAUCCAAAGCGCGGUUCAUGACAACAUUGAUGAACUACUUGAUGAAGAGGACGAGUUAUGUCCUGUCGAAUGUGUAAGAGAAUUUAAGACUGAUGAGGAAUUCUCCAUAAUACUGGAAAAAGCGAAAAAGGCUGGUUCUUUGGUUGUGGUAGACUUCUACCGCACGGCUUGUGGCAGUUGCAAGUACAUAGAGCAAGGGUUUGCAAAAUUAUGCAGGGGAGCUGGUGAUGAACAGGCACCAGUUAUAUUCUUAAAACACAAUGUAAUCGAUGAAUAUGAUGAACAGUCUGAGGUUGCUGAGCGACUCCGAAUCAAGACAGUACCCCUUUUUCACUUUUAUAAAAAUGGAGUCCUACUGGAAGCUUUUCCAACCAGAGAUAAAGAAAGGAUACUUGCAGCUAUUCUUAAAUACUCUGCUGCAGCUUCGCCGGAUGCUUGAAUUGGUCCGGUUUGCACUUGCUUCUACACUAUGUUGCUCGGACUCUUUGAAAAUGUCGACAGGUGCGUGUGGGAUCCUCAAAAAGUUGUGCAUUUUCAGAGGAUCCGACACGGGUGCGGCAACACUUUUGGAGAGUCCAAGCAAUAUAGCUUCUACAUAAUAUGUUGCUUUUAUUAGGACUCCGGCACCUGAUGAGAAAUCAAAGUUGUUUGGCUUCGGAGGGGGAGCAGCUCGAGUAGUCCACCGACAAGAGACAGGUUUGGGACUGGGACUCCGAGCCCAUCCCUCAGAGGACAGAGCCAAUUCUUCUCCCACAGUUAAAAUGUUCAAAGUUCUGGAGUAGUGAACUGUGGGGGGAGUUUACAAUGAUAAAUGAAAAGGGGCCUUAAAUAAAAUGAAUUCAAGCAGCUGUUGAUAAAGCAUCAGAUGAAAACUUCUUCCCAUCUGUCCUAGUCUUGAUGGACAAAAUUACCUGGUAUCAGUUGCUGAUGAGAGGUGGGAGGUAUUCUCAAAUUCGACUUGAGCCCCUUUGACUUUUUCAUAUGUCUACUUUAUAUUUUGAAUCCCUUAGUGAAAAUUCUGGUAUUUUGAAUCCCUUAGUGAAAAUUCUGGUUCGGCCGCUGAGACAAUUCACCUGAGAACAUGUCAUUAAAUAUCAUAAUUGCCCUCUCUUAUAAUCUCAUCUUGUAAAUAGAUCAUGAUCAUGGCUCCUGAUUUUGGGAUGUUUUUCUGCCACUUUGCCCCCUUAAAUGAAAUCCUAUUUUGU
This is an RNA transcript of Capsicum annuum, 1792 nucleotides long. It is a transcript of the gene named thioredoxin-like 4, chloroplastic, with no coding region annotated. The transcript is spliced from 5 exons. NCBI's taxonomy places the organism in Eukaryota, Viridiplantae, Streptophyta, Magnoliopsida, Solanales, Solanaceae. The record is from RefSeq and is a predicted model, not a curated record.